CUUUGUGCUUUGGUUUCCUGUCUUCUGUUAUUAGACCUGAGAUGUGACUGCUCUGUGCUGUUGCUGAUGACUCCAGUUAAUCCUACAAGACAUGCUGUGACACCAGCAGAGAUGAGUCCUUCAUCACAGAUGGUUGGUCAGUGACCUGCAGGUCGAAGGUCAUUGCAUCUCCAGCCCACAUCCACUGCCACUGUACUGAAGUUUCCCACAUUCCCGGCUGUGUGUAGUAGAGGUUCCAUUCAGUUUAAUGCUGAUGAAUAAAUGAGCAGCAGCUCUGAGUUUGACUCACCGAGGAGCAGAGAGACA
Oreochromis aureus is the source of this 306-nucleotide long non-coding RNA. RefSeq lists it as uncharacterized. Lineage: Eukaryota; Metazoa; Chordata; Actinopteri; Cichliformes; Cichlidae. The transcript is spliced from 3 exons. The record is from RefSeq and is a predicted model, not a curated record.